AGACCCGAAACCCGGUGAUCUAGCCAUGGGCAGGUUGAAGGUUGGGUAACACUAACUGGAGGACCGAACCGACUAAUGUUGAAAAAUUAGCGGAUGACCUGUGGCUGGGGGUGAAAGGCCAAUCAAACCGGGAGAUAGCUGGUUCUCCCCGAAAGCUAUUUAGGUAGCGCCUCGUGAAUUCAUCUCCGGGGGUAGAGCACUGUUUCGGCUAGGGGGCCAUCCCGGCUUACCAACCCGAUGCAAACUGCGAAUACCGGAGAAUGUUAUCACGGGAGACACACGGCGGGUGCUAACGUCCGUCGUGAAGAGGGAAACAACCCAGACCGCCAGCUAAGGUCCCAAAGUCAUGGUUAAGUGGGAAACGAUGUGGGAAGGCCCAGACAGCCAGGAUGUUGGCUUAGAAGCAGCCAUCAUUUAAAGAAAGCGUAAUAGCUCACUGGUCGAGUCGGCCUGCGCGGAAGAUGUAACGGGGCUAAACCAUGCACCGAAGCUGCGGCAGCGAACGUAUCACUUAAAGCGAUUCAGCGGGUUACGAUUGACGGAGCGAAGCGACGUCAAAGCGUAUACAAAGUCGAGUCGGUUUAAGGAUACGUUCGUUGGGUAGGGGAGCGUUCUGUAAGCCUGUGAAGGUGUGUCGUGAGGCAUGCUGGAGGUAUCAGAAGUGCGAAUGCUGACAUAAGUAACGAUAAAGCGGGUGAAAAGCCCGCUCGCCGGAAGACCAAGGGUUCCUGUCCAACGUUAAUCGGGGCAGGGUGAGUCGACCCCUAAGGCGAGGCCGAAAGGCGUAGUCGAUGGGAAACGGGUUAAUAUUCCCGUACUUGGUGUUACUGCGAAGGGGGGACGGAGAAGGCUAUGUUGGCCGGGCGACGGUUGUCCCGGUUUAAGCGUGUAGGUGUGUGUUCCAGGUAAAUCCGGUUCACUUUAACACUGAGGCGUGACGACGAGGCACUACGGUGCUGAAGCAACAAAUGCCCUGCUUCCAGGAAAAGCCUCUAAGCAUCAGGUAACAUCAAAUCGUACCCCAAACCGACACAGGUGGUCAGGUAGAGAAUACCAAGGCGCUUGAGAGAACUCGGGUGAAGGAACUAGGCAAAAUGGUGCCGUAACUUCGGGAGAAGGCACGCUGACACGUAGGUGAAGUGAUUUACUCAUGGAGCUGAAGUCAGUCGAAGAUACCAGCUGGCUGCAACUGUUUAUUAAAAACACAGCACUGUGCAAACACGAAAGUGGACGUAUACGGUGUGACGCCUGCCCGGUGCCGGAAGGUUAAUUGAUGGGGUCAGCGCAAGCGAAGCUCCUGAUCGAAGCCCCGGUAAACGGCGGCCGUAACUAUAACGGUCCUAAGGUAGCGAAAUUCCUUGUCGGGUAAGUUCCGACCUGCACGAAUGGCGUAAUGAUGGCCAGGCUGUCUCCACCCGAGACUCAGUGAAAUUGAACUCGCUGUGAAGAUGCAGUGUACCCGCGGCAAGACGGAAAGACCCCGUGAACCUUUACUAUAGCUUGACACUGAACAUUGAGCCUUGAUGUGUAGGAUAGGUGGGAGGCUUUGAAGUGUGGACGCCAGUCUGCAUGGAGCCGACCUUGAAAUACCACCCUUUAAUGUUUGAUGUUCUAACGUGGACCCGUGAUCCGGGUUGCGGACAGUGUCUGGUGGGUAGUUUGACUGGGGCGGUCUCCUCCUAAAGAGUAACGGAGGAGCACGAAGGUUGGCUAAUCCUGGUCGGACAUCAGGAGGUUAGUGCAAUGGCAUAAGCCAGCUUGACUGCGAGCGUGACGGCGCGAGCAGGUGCGAAAGCAGGUCAUAGUGAUCCGGUGGUUCUGAAUGGAAGGGCCAUCGCUCAACGGAUAAAAGGUACUCCGGGGAUAACAGGCUGAUACCGCCCAAGAGUUCAUAUCGACGGCGGUGUUUGGCACCUCGAUGUCGGCUCAUCACAUCCUGGGGCUGAAGUAGGUCCCAAGGGUAUGGCUGUUCGCCAUUUAAAGUGGUACGCGAGCUGGGUUUAGAACGUCGUGAGACAGUUCGGUCCCUAUCUGCCGUGGGCGCUGGAGAACUGAGGGGGGCUGCUCCUAGUACGAGAGGACCGGAGUGGACGCAUCACUGGUGUUCGGGUUGUCAUGCCAAUGGCACUGCCCGGUAGCUAAAUGCGGAAGAGAUAAGUGCUGAAAGCAUCUAAGCACGAAACUUGCCCCGAGAUGAGUUCUCCCUGAGACUUAAAGUCUCCUGAAGGAACGUUGAAGACG
This 2241-nucleotide ribosomal RNA is filed under the name Salmonella enterica. RNAcentral describes it as "partial 23S ribosomal RNA". It matches the Rfam family "Bacterial large subunit ribosomal RNA", at positions 711 to 2846 of the family's 2925-position model. The record is from RNAcentral. Lineage: Bacteria; Pseudomonadati; Pseudomonadota; Gammaproteobacteria; Enterobacterales; Enterobacteriaceae.